GACGAACGCUGGCGGCGUGCCUAAUACAUGCAAGUAGAACGCUGAAGAGAGGAGCUUGCUCUUCUUGGAUGAGUUGCGAACGGGUGAGUAACGCGUAGGUAACCUGCCUGGUAGCGGGGGAUAACUAUUGGAAACGAUAGCUAAUACCGCAUAAAAUGGAUUAUCGCAUGAUAAUCCAUUUAAAGGUGCAAAUGCAUCACUACUAGAUGGACCUGCGUUGUAUUAGCUAGUUGGUGGGGUAACGGCUCACCAAGGCGACGAUACAUAGCCGACCUGAGAGGGUGAUCGGCCACAAUGGGACUGAGACACGGCCCAGAAUCCUACGGGAGGCAGCAGUAGGGAAUCUUCGGCAAUGGACGGAAGUCUGACCGAGCAACGCCGCGUGAGUGAAGAAGGUUUUCGGAUCGUAAAGCUCUGUUGUAAGAGAAGAACGAGUGUGAGAGUGGAAAGUUCACACUGUGACGGUAUCUUACCAGAAAGGGACGGCUAACUACGUG
This 497-nucleotide ribosomal RNA is filed under the name uncultured bacterium. RNAcentral's name for it is "partial 16S ribosomal RNA". It matches the Rfam family "Bacterial small subunit ribosomal RNA", at positions 28 to 507 of the family's 1533-position model. The record is from RNAcentral.